Molecule: non-coding RNA, 661 nt
Organism: Peromyscus maniculatus bairdii (prairie deer mouse)
Lineage: Eukaryota; Metazoa; Chordata; Mammalia; Rodentia; Cricetidae
Source: RefSeq, a predicted model, not a curated record
CAAACCUCACUUAGAGAGAACAUGGAAACAUGGACUCCGUGAACACAGCAACUACAUGAUGAUUGCACAGCGCAGAGAAGUGGGGGUCACUUCUAUGUGGUGCCCACACAGUUUGAAAACAGCCCCUUGUCUCCCUUGGAAAUCUCAUGAGCCACCACCCCACCCCCGCCGCCGCCGCCGCCGCCGCCGGGCCAGUGCUAGCAAGGGUCCAAGCGGGCAGCUUGACUGGAUUUUUGUUCAGAUCAGGCAAGCGUGCUGGCAGUGAGCAGAGCCAGCGAGAACGUGCAUUCCAGGCUCCUCUGCCAUUAGCCACGCAGCAGCUGCGGCCCAUGGCUGAAUUGUUCUUCAGUUUCCCCAGGAAGAAGGCCAGCAACACUAUAGAAUGAAAUCCAAGGAAAGAAUGAAUCAAUGGCCUCUAUUCCUUUUUCAAGACAGAUUGCUAGAUGCCAGAUAACUGUUUGUCGUAUCUUUCGAUUCUGGUCUGGUAUUCUAACUUGAUCCUCAAGGGCAAAUUGUCCUUCUCUGUUUGAUUUCUCAGAAACCACAAGAGCUCAACCAUGAAGAAUGGGGGCCAUACCAUGUGGAUCAUUUUAGAUAAACAGUGACCGAGACACUGACCCUAACGAGAACGAGGAGAGACAGGUAGAGGUGUAGAUCUAGG